Molecule: ribosomal RNA, 497 nt
Filed under: uncultured bacterium
Lineage: Bacteria
Description: partial 16S ribosomal RNA
Rfam family: Bacterial small subunit ribosomal RNA
Source: RNAcentral
GAUGAACGCUGGCGGCGUGCCUAAUACAUGCAAGUCGAGCGAACAGACGAGGAGCUUGCUCCUCUGACGUUAGCGGCGGACGGGUGAGUAACACGUGGAUAACCUACCUAUAAGACUGGGAUAACUUCGGGAAACCGGAGCUAAUACCGGAUAAUAUAUUGAACCGCAUGGUUCAAUAGUGAAAGACGGUUUUGCUGUCACUUAUAGAUGGAUCCGCGCCGCAUUAGCUAGUUGGUAAGGUAACGGCUUACCAAGGCAACGAUGCGUAGCCGACCUGAGAGGGUGGUCGGCCACACGGGAACUGAGACACGGUCCAGACUCCGACGGGAGGCAGCAGUAGGGAAUCGUCCGCAAUGGGCGAAAGCCUGACGGAGCAACGCCGCGUGAGUGAUGAAGGUCUUCGGAUCGUAAAACUCUGUUAUUAGGGAAGAACAAAUGUGUAAGUAACUAUGCACGUCUUGACGGUACCUAAUCAGAAAGCCACGGCUAACUACGUG